Molecule: long non-coding RNA, 858 nt
Filed under: Anas platyrhynchos platyrhynchos (common mallard)
Lineage: Eukaryota; Metazoa; Chordata; Aves; Anseriformes; Anatidae
Description: lncRNA (ENSAPLG00000025788.1)
Source: RNAcentral
CAUUUAGAACAAGACAAAACUAAGCAGCCCUUUGUAAAGCGAAAGCAGCUGGCUCAACUAAUUAAAUGUUAAAAAUUCCAGCAAGACGAGCGUACCAGAAAAUAAACAGGCAUUGGAGCCAGGAGAGAAAGCGUUGGAAAUGAUCUAUGCGUUUUCCUGUCUCUGCAUGCGUUUGUGUGGAUGCUGGCACCGGCGUGGCCGCGCGUUCACGUGUCCCUGCUGAUGUGCGUUGCCUUGGCUAUUUGUUAGCUGCGAACAAGCAUGAUCGCUGCUGAGAAGAGUUCUCAGGAUGUGUUCAAAAGCAGAAGGCGCCGACUUUCAUCUGCCCCCUUACAGCGAGCGCUGCCAAGCCUUCCCCAGCACGAGCAGCCCUGCCUGCACUCGCCGGCUGCCCUGCAGCCUAAUCCUGCAGCCCCGAGGAUGUGCUGACAUCGGCCGGGCGGCUCGGUGCCUCGGAUAAAGGGCCCAUGGAAAUAAUGUUCAGCGUUUUUGAGGCGAGGGCCCUUUGAAGAAUUUCCCCCAAGUGCUGCUCGCCUUUGUUGUUUCGGCCACCACAGCCAGCACAAGCCCCAGCAGCGGCCGUGCCGUUGCGAGCCCGCGUGGCGCAGCAGGCAGCGCCGGCAGCGUGCGGCCGGGGGCUGGGCCACAAAGUCAUCAGAAGAGAAGCAGCGCUGGCACAUCCAGGCAUUUGAUGGGAUGUGGACUGUGCCUUUGCGACCAUCUGCAGGCAGCAGCGUGGUCCGCAGCCCACGCUGGAGCCGGAUCCAAACCCUUCCUGAUGCGAGAUGCCAGCAUCCCUGGGGCUGACUUCAUAAUCCUGCCAGAGCCAUUUUCUGCAUUCUCAGAGGACUUCCCCCA